UGGGGAAUCUUGCACAAUGGGGGAAACCCUGAUGCAGCGACGCCGCGUGAGCGAUGAAGGUUUUCGAAUCGUAAAGCCCUGUCUUAUGGGAAGAUAAUGACGGUACCAUAGGAGGAAGCCCCGGCUAACUACGUGCCAGCAGCCGCGGUAAUACGUAGGGGGCGAGCGUUGUCCGGAAUUACUGGGCGUAAAGGGUUCGCAGGCGGCAUGACAAGUCCGAUGUAAAAGGCGAAAGCUCAACUUUCGUAAGCAUCGGAAACUGUCAAGCUUGGGUGAAGGGGAGGCAAGUGGAAUUCCUAGUGUAGCGGUGGAAUGCGUAGAUAUUAGGAGGAAUACCGGAAGAGAAGGCGACUUGCUGGACUUCAACUGACGCUGAGGAACGAAAGCGUGGGUAGCAAACAGG
Molecule: ribosomal RNA, 403 nt
Filed under: bacterium
Lineage: Bacteria
Description: partial 16S ribosomal RNA
Rfam family: Bacterial small subunit ribosomal RNA
Source: RNAcentral